AACGAACGCUGGCGGCAGGCCUAACACAUGCAAGUCGAGCGCCCCGCAAGGGGAGCGGCGGACGGGUGAGUAACGCGUGGGAACGUACCCUUUGCUACGGAAUAGCCUCGGGAAACUGGGAGUAAUACCGUAUGUGUCCUUCGGGAGAAAGAUUUAUCGGCAAGGGAUCGGCCCGCGUUGGAUUAGGUAGUUGGUGGGGUAAUGGCCUACCAAGCCGACGAUCCAUAGCUGAUUUGAGAGGAUGAUCAGCCACACUGGGACUGAGACACGGCCCAGACUCCUACGGGAGGCAGCAGUGGGGAAUCUUAGACAAUGGGCGCAAGCCUGAUCUAGCCAUGCCGCGUGAGCGAUGAAGGCCUUAGGGUUGUAAAGCUCUUUCAGGGGGGAAGAUAAUGACUGUACCCCCAGAAGAAGCCCCGGCUAACUCCGUG
Molecule: ribosomal RNA, 431 nt
Filed under: uncultured bacterium
Lineage: Bacteria
Description: partial 16S ribosomal RNA
Rfam family: Bacterial small subunit ribosomal RNA
Source: RNAcentral